This 107-nucleotide small nuclear RNA is filed under the name Catagonus wagneri (Chacoan peccary). The record is from RNAcentral. Lineage: Eukaryota; Metazoa; Chordata; Mammalia; Artiodactyla; Tayassuidae.
AUGCUCGCUUCCGCAGCACAUAUACUAAAAUUAGAAUGAUACAGAGAAGAUUAGCUUGGCCCCCGCACAAGGAUGACAUGCAAAUUCAUGAAGCAUUCCAUAUUUUC